RNAcentral lists this ribosomal RNA (261 nucleotides) under uncultured bacterium. RNAcentral describes it as "partial 16S ribosomal RNA". It matches the Rfam family "Bacterial small subunit ribosomal RNA", at positions 1231 to 1500 of the family's 1533-position model. The record is from RNAcentral.
UGGCAGGUACAGAGGGGUGCUACCGGGUGACCGGAUGCCGAUCUCGAAAACCUGUCCCAGUUCGGACUGGAGUCUGCAACCCGACUCCACGAAGUUGGAUUCGCUAGUAAUCGCGCAUCAGCCAUGGCGCGGUGAAUACGUUCCCGGGCCUUGUACACACCGCCCGUCAAGCCAUGGGAGCCGGGGGCGCCUGAAGUCCGGGACCGCGAGGACCGGCCUAAGGCGAAACUGGUGACUGGGGCUAAGUCGUAACAAGGUACC